GUCCCGCAACGAGCGCCAACCCCUAUUGCCAGUUGCUACCAGGUAAUGCUGGGCACUCUGGUGAGACUGCCCCGGUUAACGGGGAGGAAGGUGGGGACGACGUCAAGUCAUCAUGGCCCUUACGCCUAGGGCUACACACGUACUACAAUGGCGCAUACAAAGGGCAGCGAUACCGCGAGGUGGAGCCAAUCCCAAAAAGUGCGUCCCAGUCCGGAUUGCAGUCUGCAACUCGACUGCAUGAAGUUGGAAUCGCUAGUAAUUCGAGAUCAGCAUGCUCGGGUGAAUGCGUUCCCGGGCCUU
RNAcentral lists this ribosomal RNA (300 nucleotides) under uncultured Desulfovibrio sp. Its description in RNAcentral is "bacterial SSU rRNA". It matches the Rfam family "Bacterial small subunit ribosomal RNA", at positions 1084 to 1382 of the family's 1533-position model. The record is from RNAcentral. Lineage: Bacteria; Pseudomonadati; Thermodesulfobacteriota; Desulfovibrionia; Desulfovibrionales; Desulfovibrionaceae.